UGCGGGAUGGAGCAGCGCACAGCUCACCGGGCUCAUAACUCGGAGGUCGUCGGUUGGAGUCCGGCUCCCGCAA
This 73-nucleotide transfer RNA is filed under the name Salipiger mucosus DSM 16094. It matches the Rfam family "tRNA". Rfam says of the family: Transfer RNA (tRNA) molecules are approximately 80 nucleotides in length. The record is from Rfam by way of RNAcentral. Lineage: Bacteria; Pseudomonadati; Pseudomonadota; Alphaproteobacteria; Rhodobacterales; Roseobacteraceae.